UGGGGAAUAUUGGACAAUGGGCGAAAGCCUGAUCCAGCCAUGCCGCGUGUGUGAAGAAGGUCUUCGGAUUGUAAAGCACUUUAAGUUGGGAGGAAGGGCAGUAAGCGAAUACCUUGCUGUUUUGACGUUACCGACAGAAUAAGCACCGGCUAACUCUGUGCCAGCAGCCGCGGUAAUACAGAGGGUGCAAGCGUUAAUCGGAAUUACUGGGCGUAAAGCGCGCGUAGGUGGUUCGUUAAGUUGAAUGUGAAAGCCCCGGGCUCAACCUGGGAACUGCAUCCAAAACUGGCGAGCUAGAGUAGGGCAGAGGGUGGUGGAAUUUCCUGUGUACCGGUGAAAUGCGUAGAUAUAGGAAGGAACACCAGUGGCGAAGGCGACCACCUGGGCUCAUACUGACACUGAGGUGCGAAAGCGUGGGGAGCAAACAGG
Molecule: ribosomal RNA, 429 nt
Filed under: Pseudomonadota bacterium
Lineage: Bacteria; Pseudomonadati; Pseudomonadota
Description: Proteobacteria bacterium partial 16S ribosomal RNA
Rfam family: Bacterial small subunit ribosomal RNA
Source: RNAcentral